Molecule: ribosomal RNA, 325 nt
Filed under: uncultured eukaryote
Lineage: Eukaryota
Description: partial 18S ribosomal RNA
Rfam family: Eukaryotic small subunit ribosomal RNA
Source: RNAcentral
CCCUUAGAUGUUCUGGGCCGCACACGCGCUACACUGAAGGAGGCAGCGUGUACUCCUGGAUCGAAAGAUUUGGGUAACCCGCGAAUCUCCUUCGUGCUAGGGAUUGAGGUUUGCAAUUAUCCUUCAUGAACGAGGAAUUCCCAGUAAGUGCAAGUCAUAAGCUUGCGCUGACUACGUCCCUGCCCUUUGUACACACCGCCCGUCGCUCCUACCGAUUGAAUGGUCCGGUGAAGCGCUCGGACCGCGGCCUCUUGACGGUUCGCUGUCGAUUGGCUGUGGGAAGUUCGUUAAACCUUAUCAUUUAGAGGAAGGAGAAGUCGUANCA